RNAcentral lists this ribosomal RNA (490 nucleotides) under uncultured bacterium. RNAcentral describes it as "partial 16S ribosomal RNA". It matches the Rfam family "Bacterial small subunit ribosomal RNA", at positions 29 to 506 of the family's 1533-position model. The record is from RNAcentral.
GUGAACGCUGGCGGUAGGCCUAACACCUGCAAGUCGCACGGCAGCACAGUAAGAGCUUGCUCUUACGGGUGGCGAGUGGCGGACGGGUGAGGAAUACAUCGGAAUCUACUUUUUCGUGGGGGAUAACGUAGGGAAACUUACGCUAAUACCGCAUACGACCUACGGGUGAAAGCAGGGGAUCUUCGUACCUUGCGCGAUUGAAUGAGCCGAUGUCGGAUUAGCUAGUUGGCGGGGUAAAGGCCCACCAAGGCGACGAUCCGUAGCUGGUCUGAGAGGAUGAUCAGCCACACUGGAACUGAGACACGGUCCAGACUCCUACGGGAGGCAGCAGUGGGGAAUAUUGGACAAUGGGCGCAAGCCUGAUCCAGCCAUACCGCGUGGGUGAAGAAGGCCUUCGGGUUGUAAAGCCCUUUUGUUGGGAAAGAAAAGCAGCAGGUUAAUACCCCGCUGUUCUGACGGUACCAAAAGAAUAAGCACCGGCUAACUUCGU